RNAcentral lists this ribosomal RNA (229 nucleotides) under uncultured bacterium. Its description in RNAcentral is "partial 16S ribosomal RNA". It matches the Rfam family "Bacterial small subunit ribosomal RNA", at positions 568 to 796 of the family's 1533-position model. The record is from RNAcentral.
UACGUAGGCGGAAAAUUAAGUCAGUAGUGAAAUCCUGCAGCUUAACUGUAGAACUGUUAUUGAUACUGGUUUUCUUGAAUAUAGUUGAGGUAGGCGGAAUGUGUAAUGUAGCGGUGAAAUGCUUAGAUAUUACACAGAACACCGGUUGCGAAGGCAGCUUACUAAGCUAUGAUUGACGCUGAGGUACGAAAGCGUGGGGAGCGAACAGGAUUAGAUACCCUGGUAGUCC